RNAcentral lists this non-coding RNA (21 nucleotides) under Caenorhabditis elegans. The record is from RNAcentral. Lineage: Eukaryota; Metazoa; Nematoda; Chromadorea; Rhabditida; Rhabditidae.
UAUUCGAAAAAAGUUACUCAA